UGAAAAGGACCCCGGGAGGGGAGUGAAAGAGAACCUGAAACCUUGUGCUUACAAACAGUCAAAGGACGCAAGUCUGAUGGCGUACUUUUUGUAGAACGGUCCGGCGAGUUACUAAUGCCAGCGAGGUUAAGUGGUCAGAAGCCACGGAGCCGAAGGGAAACCAAGUCUGAAUAGGGCGUAGAGUUGGUAUUAGUAGACCCGAAACCGGGUGACCUAUCCAUGUCCAGGUUGAAGGAACCGUAAAAGGUUUUGGAGGACCGAACACACAUGUGUUGAAAAACGUGGUGAUGAGGUGUGGAUAGCGGAGAAAUUCCAAUCGAACUCGGAGAUAGCUGGUUCUCCUCGAAAUAGCUUUAGGGCUAGCCUCGAGCUGGAGUCUAACGGAGGUAAAGCACUGAACUGACGCGGGGCCCAAAAAGGUUACCAACUCAUAUCAAACUAAGAAUGCCGUCAAGAUACCCUCGGGAGUCAGUCUGCGUGAGAUAAGUCGCGUGGACAAAAGGGAAAGAGCCCAGACCGACAGCUAAGGUCCCAAAGUACGUGUUAAGUGGAAAAGGAUGUGGGAUUUCAUAGACAACUAGGAUGUUGGCUUAGAAGCAGCCAUACAUUUAAAGAGUGCGUAAUAGCUCACUAGUCGAGAAAACCUGCGCCGAAAAUGUAACGGGGCUAAAACACGACACCGAAGCUACGGAUUUCCUACAAGGUAGGAAGUGGUAGAGGAGCAUCCUGCAAGGACGAAGCCAAAGUGAGAGCGAUGGUGGACGAAACAGGAGAGAGAAUGCCGGAAUGAGUAGCGAGAUACAUGUGAGAAACAUGUAGGCCGAAUAUCUAAGGAUUCCUGGGUAAAGCUAAUCUUCCCAGGGUUAGUCGGGGCCUAAGGCGAGGACGAAAGUCGUAGUCGAUGGAUAACAGGUUGAUAUUCCUGUACUACACAUAAUCAGAACUGUGGGGACGCAGGAGGAUAGGGAAACCGGGGAAUGGAAAGACCCGGUCAAGCGUAAAGCUGUGGGAGAUAGGCAAAUCCGUCCCCUGUAAGUGAAACGUGAUGAGGACUGAAAAAAAGUAAGGAAGUUUCCGAAUCCACACUGCCGAGAAAAGCCGCUAUUGCGUUAUGUGUACCCGUACCGUAAACCGACACAGGUAGAUGAGGAGAAAAUCCACAGGCCGACGGGAGAAGUGUUGUUAAGGAACUCGGCAAAAUGACCCCGUAACUUCGGGAUAAGGGGAGCCUACGAGAGUAGGCCGCAGAGAAUAGUCUCAAGCGACUGUUUAGCAAAAACACAGGUCUAUGCUAAAUCGAAAGAUGAUGUAUAUGGGCUGACGCCUGCCCGGUGCUGGAAGGUUAAGGGGAAGUGUUAGAGCAAUCGAAGCACUGAACUUAAGCCCCAGUAAACGGCGGCCGUAACUAUAACGGUCCUAAGGUAGCGAAAUUCCUUGUCAGGUAAGUUCUGACCCGCACGAAUGGCGUAACGACUUGAGAGCUGUCUCAACAACAUACCCGGCGAAAUUGAAGUACUGGUAAAGAUGCCAGUUACCCGUGAUAAGACGGAAAGACCCCAUGGAGCUUUACUGUAACUUGAUAUUGAAUUUUUGUAUUACAUGUACAGGAUAGGUGGGAGACAGAGAACUAAUGCCGCCAGGUGUUAGGGAGUCGAUGUUGGGAUACCACUCUUGUAAUAUGAAGGUUCUAACCUGCACCCGUGAAUCCGGGUGGGGGACACUGUCAGGUGGACAGUUUGACUGGGGCGGUCGCCUCCUAAAAGGUAACGGAGGCGUUCAAAGGUUGGUUCAGCACGGACGGAAAUCGUGCAACGAGUGCAAACGCAUAAACCAGCCUAACUGCGAGACCGACAAGUCGAGCAGUAACGAAAGUUGGAGUUAGUGAUCCGGCGGUAUGAGAGUGGAAUUGCCGUCGCUCAACGGAUAAAAGCUACCCUGGGGAUAACAGGCUGAUCUCCCCCA
This 1962-nucleotide ribosomal RNA is filed under the name human gut metagenome. RNAcentral describes it as "bacterial LSU rRNA". It matches the Rfam family "Bacterial large subunit ribosomal RNA", at positions 515 to 2494 of the family's 2925-position model. The record is from RNAcentral.